RNAcentral lists this microRNA precursor (94 nucleotides) under Pelobates cultripes (western spadefoot toad). The record is from RNAcentral. Lineage: Eukaryota; Metazoa; Chordata; Amphibia; Anura; Pelobatidae.
AGGGACCACCAACAGUCCAGGUUUUGUCAGUAUCUCCAUUGGAAUAAAACAGAGAAAUACAUAAAUCCUGGAUUGUUGGUGGUCCCUGAGGAUU